CAAAUCAGGUAGGACUACCCGCUGAACUUAAGCAUAUCAAUAAGCGGAGGAAAAGAAACUAACAAGGAUUCCCCUAGUAACUGCGAGUGAAGCGGGAAAAGCUCAAAUUUAAAAUCUGGCGGUCUCUGGCCGUCCGAGUUGUAAUCUAGAGAAGUGUUAUCCGCGCUGGACCGUGUACAAGUCUCCUGGAAUGGAGCGUCAUAGAGGGUGAGAAUCCCGUCUUUGACACGGACUGCCAGGGCUUUGUGAUGCGCUCUCAAAGAGUCGAGUUGUUUGGGAAUGCAGCUCCAAAUGGGUGGUAAAUUCCAUCUAAAGCUAAAUAUUGGCGAGAGACCGAUAGCGAACAAGUACCGUGAGGGAAAGAUGAAAAGAACUUUGGAAAGAGAGUUAAACAGUACGUGAAAUUGCUGAAAGGGAAACGCUUGAAGUCAGUCGCGUUGGCCGGGAAUCAACCUUGCUUUUGCUGGGCGUACUUUCCGGUCGACGGGUCAGCAUCAAUUUUGACCGUUGGAUAAAGUCUGGAGGAAUGUGGCAUCUUCGGGUGUGUUAUAGCCUCUGGUCGCAUACAACGGUUGGGAUUGAGGAACUCAGCACGCCGCAAGGCCGGGUACUCGUACCACGUUCGUGCUUAGGAUGCUGGCAUAAUGGCUUUAAUCGACCCGUCUUGAAACACGGACCAAGGAGUCUAACAUGCCUGCGAGUGUUUGGGUGGAAAACCCGAGCGCGUAAUGAAAGUGAAAGUUGAGAUCCCUGUCGUGGGGAGCAUCGACGCCCGGACCAGACCUUUUGUGACGGUUCCGCGGUAGAGCAUGUAUGUUGGGACCCGAAAGAUGGUGAACUAUGCCUGAAUAGGGUGAAGCCAGAGGAAACUCUGGUGGAGGCUCGUAGCGAUUCUGACGUGCAAAUCGAUCGUCAAAUUUGGGUAUAGGGGCGAAAGACUAAUCGAACCAUCUAGUAGCUGGUUCCUGCCGAAGUUUCCCUCAGGAU
This 987-nucleotide ribosomal RNA is filed under the name Agrocybe smithii. RNAcentral's name for it is "eukaryotic LSU rRNA". It matches the Rfam family "Eukaryotic large subunit ribosomal RNA", at positions 1 to 979 of the family's 3401-position model. Lineage: Eukaryota; Fungi; Basidiomycota; Agaricomycetes; Agaricales; Agrocybaceae. The record is from RNAcentral.